RNAcentral lists this transfer RNA (543 nucleotides) under uncultured cyanobacterium. RNAcentral's name for it is "partial 16S-23S ribosomal RNA intergenic spacer". The stretch from base 212 to 284 matches the Rfam family "tRNA". Lineage: Bacteria; Bacillati; Cyanobacteriota. The record is from RNAcentral.
CAGGGAGACAACAAAAUGUUUAAUAUUAUUAUUUUGUCACCUUAGGUCGAUCGGUAUCUCACGUUUUUAAUUUAUUAAAAAUUUCAUUUCCUAAGUUUUUCUAGGUCACACCCAUUAUUUUUCCUGGGCCAUUAGCUCAGGUGGUUAGAGCGCACCCCUGAUAAGGGUGAGGUCCCUGGUUCAAGUCCAGGAUGGCCCAUCUCUCUAUGUUGGGGGUAUAGCUCAGUUGGUAGAGCGCCUGCUUUGCAAGCAGGAUGUCAGCGGUUCGAGUCCGCUUACCUCCACUGAUUACCACCUCUUCCAUAAUCUGUAGAAAGGAAAUGUUUUGAGUUGUGAUCAAAUUCUGAACGAAUCUAGCUUCCUAAUGUAACCAUUAAGAUGCUGGACUCAUUGAAUUAAUUUCAUUGUUUUCAGAGAACCUUGACAACUGCAUAGAUUAUUUUUUUUAAAGACAAUAAGCAUCUUUUAUGAUGCAGAUUUAUUAUUUGUGCGAAUGCAUUAAUAACAAUUCUAUUAAGCUGAUGCUUCAAUUUUGAAGUUAUU